RNAcentral lists this ribosomal RNA (578 nucleotides) under uncultured bacterium. Its description in RNAcentral is "bacterial SSU rRNA". It matches the Rfam family "Bacterial small subunit ribosomal RNA", at positions 102 to 676 of the family's 1533-position model. The record is from RNAcentral.
ACGGGUGAGUAAUGUCUGGGGAUCUGCCCGAUAGAGGGGGAUAACCACUGGAAACGGUGGCUAAUACCGCAUAACGUCGCAAGACCAAAGAGGGGGACCUUCGGGCCUCUCACUAUCGGAUGAACCCAGAUGGGAUUAGCUAGUAGGCGGGGUAACGGCCCACCUAGGCGACGAUCCCUAGCUGGUCUGAGAGGAUGACCAGCCACACUGGAACUGAGACACGGUCCAGACUCCUACGGGAGGCAGCAGUGGGGAAUAUUGCACAAUGGGCGCAAGCCUGAUGCAGCCAUGCCGCGUGUAUGAAGAAGGCCUUCGGGUUGUAAAGUACUUUCAGCGGGGAGGAAGGCAGUGAGGUUAAUAACCUUACUGAUUGACGUUACCCGCAGAAGAAGCACCGGCUAACUCCGUGCCAGCAGCCGCGGUAAUACGGAGGGUGCAAGCGUUAAUCGGAAUUACUGGGCGUAAAGCGCACGCAGGCGGUCUGUUAAGUCAGAUGUGAAAUCCCCGGGCUUAACCUGGGAACUGCAUUUGAAACUGGCAGGCUUGAGUCUCGUAGAGGGGGGUAGAAUUCCAGGUGU